RNAcentral lists this ribosomal RNA (250 nucleotides) under uncultured bacterium. RNAcentral's name for it is "partial 16S ribosomal RNA". It matches the Rfam family "Bacterial small subunit ribosomal RNA", at positions 796 to 1041 of the family's 1533-position model. The record is from RNAcentral.
CUGGCAGUAAACGGUGCAUACUUGGUGUGGGAGGAUUCGACCCCUCCUGUGCCGGAGCUAACGCGUUAAGUAUGCCGCCUGGGAAGUACGGUCGCAAGAUUAAAACUCAAAGAAAUUGACGGGGACCCGCACAAGCGGUGGAGUAUGUGGCUUAAUUCGAUGCAACGCGAAGAACCUUACCUGGUCUUGACAUGCAUCUUGUCGUCUGUGAAAGCAGACUAGGGUAGCAAUACCCGAUUUGCACAGGUGC